AGCAGCUGCGGUAAUUCCAGCUCCAAUAGCGUAUAUUAAAGUUGUUGCAGUUAAAAAGCUCGUAGUUGAAUUUCGGGAUCAAUGUUUCGGUCAUGCCCUUGGUAUGUACUGAUAUUAUUGGUUUCUCACCUUCUAAAGAACCGUAAUGCCAUUAAUUUGGUGUCACGGGGAAUUAGGACUGUUACCUUGAAAAAAUUAGAGUGUUUAAAGCAGGCUCACGCUUGAAUACAUUAGCAUGGAAUAAUGAAAUAGGACAUCCGAUCCUAUUUUGUUGGUUUCUAGGAUCGAUGUAAUGAUUAAUAGGGAUAGUUGGGGGCAUUAGUAUUCAAUUGUCAGAGGUGAAAUUCUUGGAUUUAUUGAAGACUAACUACUGCGAAAGCAUUUGCCAAGGAUGUUUUCAUUAAUCAAGAACGAAAGUUAGGGGAUCGAAGACGAUCAGAUACCGUCGUAGUCUUAACCAUAAACUAUGCCGACUAGGGAUCGGAUGAUGUUAAUUUUUUAAUGACUCA
Molecule: ribosomal RNA, 509 nt
Filed under: uncultured glomeraceous AM fungus
Lineage: Eukaryota; Fungi; Glomeromycota; Glomeromycetes; Glomerales; Glomeraceae
Description: SSU rRNA
Rfam family: Eukaryotic small subunit ribosomal RNA
Source: RNAcentral